This 241-nucleotide ribosomal RNA is filed under the name uncultured bacterium. Its description in RNAcentral is "partial 16S ribosomal RNA". It matches the Rfam family "Bacterial small subunit ribosomal RNA", at positions 524 to 765 of the family's 1533-position model. The record is from RNAcentral.
UACGAAGGGGCUAGCGUUGCUCGGAAUUACUGGGCGUAAAGCGCACGUAGGCGGCUUCUUAAGUCGGUGGUGAAAUCCUGGAGCUCAACUCCAGAACUGCCUUCGAUACUGGGAGCUCGAGUCCGGGAGAGGUGAGUGGAACUGCGAGUGUAGAGGUGAAAUUCGUAGAUAUUCGCAAGAACACCAGUGGCGAAGGCGGACUCACUGGCCCGGUACUGACGCUGAGGUGCGAAAGCGUGGG